UGGGGAAUAUUGGACAAUGGGGGGAACCCUGAUCCAGCAAUGCCGCGUGUGUGAAGAAGGCCUACGGGUUGUAAAGCACUUUAGGUAACGAGGAAAGUCCGCGUGUUAAUAGUACGCGGAAUUGACGUUAGUUGCAGAAUAAGCACCGGCUAACUCUGUGCCAGCAGCCACGGUAAUACAGAGGGUGCAAGCGUUAAUCGGAAUGACUGGGCGUAAAGAGUGCGUAGGUGGUUAGUUAAGUUAGAUGUGAAAUCCCCGGGCUUAACCUGGGAACUGCAUUUAAAACUGAUUGACUAGAGUGUGGGAGAGGUAAGUGGAAUUUCCGGUGUAGCGGUGAAAUGCGUAGAUAUCGGAAGGAACACCAGUGGCGAAGGCGGCUUACUGGCCUAACACUGACACUGAGGCACGAAAGCGUGGGGAGCAAACAGGAUUAGAUACCCCAGUAGUCCCUGAGCGGGCUGGCAAGGCGCAU
Molecule: ribosomal RNA, 472 nt
Filed under: uncultured bacterium
Lineage: Bacteria
Description: bacterial SSU rRNA
Rfam family: Bacterial small subunit ribosomal RNA
Source: RNAcentral